This 46-nucleotide non-coding RNA is filed under the name Lacticaseibacillus brantae DSM 23927. Its description in RNAcentral is "Lactobacillus brantae DSM 23927 PreQ1 (pre queuosine) riboswitch aptamer". It matches the Rfam family "PreQ1 (pre queuosine) riboswitch aptamer". Rfam says of the family: This family is a bacterial riboswitch that binds to the metabolite preQ1, an intermediate in the biosynthesis of the modified nucleoside queuosine from GTP. One example of this riboswitch is located in the leader of the Bacillus subtilis ykvJKLM (queCDEF) operon which encodes four genes necessary for queuosine production. PreQ1 binding to the riboswitch aptamer is thought to induce premature transcription termination within the leader to down-regulate expression of these genes. The record is from Rfam by way of RNAcentral. Lineage: Bacteria; Bacillati; Bacillota; Bacilli; Lactobacillales; Lactobacillaceae.
ACCCUUGUGGUUCGAAAUUCCGCCCACAAUAAAAAACUAGGAGGCA